UACGAAGGUGGCAAGCGUUGUUCGGAUUUACUGGGCGUAAAGGGCGCGUAGGCGGCGCGGUAAGUCACUUGUGAAAUCUCUGAGCUUAACUCAGAACGGCCAAGUGAUACUGCAGUGCUAGAGUGCAGAAGGGGCAAUCGGAAUUCUUGGUGUAGCGGUGAAAUGCGUAGAUAUCAAGAGGAACACCUGAGGUGAAGACGGGUUGCUGGGCUGACACUGACGCUGAGGCGCGAAAGCCAGGGGAGCAAACGGG
Molecule: ribosomal RNA, 253 nt
Filed under: uncultured bacterium
Lineage: Bacteria
Description: partial 16S ribosomal RNA
Rfam family: Bacterial small subunit ribosomal RNA
Source: RNAcentral